Molecule: ribosomal RNA, 389 nt
Filed under: Dinophyceae sp.
Lineage: Eukaryota; Dinophyceae
Description: partial small subunit ribosomal RNA
Rfam family: Eukaryotic small subunit ribosomal RNA
Source: RNAcentral
AUUCCAGCUCCAAUAGUGUAUAUUAAAGUUGUUGCAGUUAAAAAGCUCGUAGUUGGAUUUCUGGGAAGGACGACCGGUCCACCCACUGGGUGAGAACAUGGUUCGGCUUGACCAUUUUCUUGGAGAACGCUGCUGCGCUUCAAUGUGUGGGGUGGUAUCCAAGACUUUUACUUUGAGGAAAUUAGAGUGUUUCAAGCAGGCGCACGCCCUGAACACAUUAGCAUGGAAUAAUGAGAUAAGACCUUGGCUCUAUUUUGUUGGUUUCUAGAGCUGAGGUAAUGAUUAAUAGGGAUAGUCGGGGGCAUUCGUAUUUAACUGUCAGAGGUGAAAUUCUUGGAUUUAUGGAAGACGAACUACUGCGAAAGCAUUUACCAAGGAUGUUUUCAUCA